RNAcentral lists this ribosomal RNA (452 nucleotides) under uncultured bacterium. RNAcentral describes it as "bacterial SSU rRNA". It matches the Rfam family "Bacterial small subunit ribosomal RNA", at positions 8 to 507 of the family's 1533-position model. The record is from RNAcentral.
AGAGUUUGAUCCUGGCUCAGAACGAACGCUGGCGGCAUGCCUAACACAUGCAAGUCGAACGAAGUCUUCGGACUUAGUGGCGCACGGGUGCGUAACGCGUGGGAAUCUGCCCUUGGGUGCGGAAUAACCUCUCGAAAGGGAUGCUAAUACCGCAUAAUGUCGUAAGACCAAAGAUUUAUCGCCCAAGGAUGAGCCCGCGUAAGAUUAGCUAGUUGGUGGGGUAAAAGCCUACCAAGGCGACGAUCUUUAGCUGGUCUGAGAGGAUGAUCAGCCACACUGGGACUGAGACACGGCCCAGACUCCUACGGGAGGCAGCAGUGGGGAAUAUUGGACAAUGGGCGAAAGCCUGAUCCAGCAAUGCCGCGUGAGUGAUGAAGGCCCUAGGGUUGUAAAGCUCUUUACCAGGGAUGAUAAUGACAGUACCUGGAGAAUAAGCUCCGGCUAACUCCGUG